Long non-coding RNA from Gopherus flavomarginatus (Mexican gopher tortoise), 2988 nucleotides. RefSeq lists it as uncharacterized. Lineage: Eukaryota; Metazoa; Chordata; Testudines; Testudinidae. The transcript is spliced from 2 exons. The record is from RefSeq and is a predicted model, not a curated record.
CUUUUCUUAAGUCCAGGGUCUGUAUUCUACUGCUCUGCUUUCUUCCUUGUGUCAGGAUCCUACUAACUCUUCUCUGUGAGCAGCAGGUCAAGAAGAGCUCUGCCCCUCGUUGGUUCCUCCAGCACUUGCACUAGGAAAUUGUCCCCUACACUUUCCAAAAACUUCCUGGAUUGUCUGUGCACUGCUGUAUUGCUCUCCCAGCAGAUAUCGGGGUGAUUGAAGUCUCCCAUGAGAACCAGGGCCUGCGAUCUAGUAACUUCUGUUAGUUGCCAGAAGGAAACCUCGUCCACCUCAUCCCCCUGGUCUGGUGGUCUAUAGCAGACUGUUAAACAGGAGCUACUAUUUUAAAAUCAUCAGGUCCAUAUAAACUUGCAUCCAAGCAUUUAAAAAGAGCUGGAUGAGAAGCUUGCUGGACUGUUAUGUUGAUUUUUGACAUUGGGGAAGUUCGAGAAGACUGGAAGAAAGCUAAUAGGCCAGUGAGGCUGACACAGGUAAUUACAGGCCUGUCAGCCUGACAUCAAUGCAGGGCAAGGUAAUUGGCUGAUACAGUACUUGAUUCAUAAAGAACUAAAGGAGGGAAAUAUAAUUAAUGCAAAUCAGCAUGGGUUUAUGGAAAAGAGACCAUGGUAAACUGUCACCAGAGCACAGGCUCGGGGCUCUGGAUGAAGCCAGGCAGGAUGCUGGGGUGCAGCAUCUCCCCUCAGGGCACUUGUCACCAGGGCAAGCCCCUCGGAGUAUUCAGCCCCCUGGUCACCCCGUGAACUCUCCACAGCGAGUCUCCCUGGAGUAGCCUCACCCCCAAAGGGCCCUGCCCCCCCGUGCCACAGCUAGACGUGACUCCCAGCCCGCGUGUGACAGAUGGGUCAUUAUCAUCAGGAACCCAGCGUAGAACAGAGCUUGAUUGAUGAAGGUUCCUGAUUUCGACGGUAAGUCCGGGUGGGGGGAGAGGGAGCAUAGCCCUGGGCUCCCCAUCCCACAGCCUAGCUUCAGUCACCUCUAGCUGCCCUCCUGUCCUUAGUCUCUUUCCUGGGCAAACACGUUGUCACGGAGUCCCUGGGCGAUGCUCUGGAACUGCUACCCACAAGCCAGGCAGGACUCUGGGGAGCCUCCUCUCCCUUGGAGCAGACUCUGUCCAGGGCAAAAAGCUCACACCGCUUCACCUCCUGCGUCUGACCUUGGAGCAUUCAGCAUCCUCUGCCCCUCCGUGCACUUCCCACAGCGAGUCCGCCCAGGCAGGGUCAUGGGGAAGCCACAGGGGUCUAAAACAGAGCUUGUAGGUACAGAGAACAGGUCCCCUCAACCGGGUCCAUUCUGGGGCCCAGCGAGCCAGACAACCCCGUCUGCCCUCACUUCCCGUCCCCAGCCAGCUCCAAACUGAAACUCUCCAGCCCCACCUCUGGCCUUUGUCUCUUUCCUGGGCCAGGACGUCACCUGAUCCCUUUGUUCUCCUUUAGCCAUUCCCUUGCAGGGGGAAGGGCCCCAGCCAGUUGCUAGCAGACAGAUUGUGGGCCAUUUAUGCACACUGGAGACUUAAGAAAAUCAUAGGGGAAACUGAGGCACCCAAACUGUCUUCAGAGGAAACAUUAAGAACAGUCCCACUUCAUCACAGGUUUCCCGGCAUCCAUGUCUCACUUUAUUCUCCAACACCUCCCCCUGGCUCUUGCAAAGGGUGGGCUCCGGCCAUCAGUUGCCAGGAUAGAGCACCUGGCCAUUCUCCGUGCCCAAGCAGCCCGUCAGCAGUCGCACCUCCCCUCUGGGGUCUCUGCAAAGAUCACACACCCUUGUUCCACCACCUAGGUACUUGAGUAACAGGGGAAACUCAGGCACACACUAUUCAGAAAUGCACUAAGAACAUUCCCACUUCAUCACAGAUUAACUUGAUAGCUCUCUUUGAUGAGAUUACAAAUUUGAUUGAUAAAGUUGAUAGUGUGAUGAAGUGGGGGGUUUUCUUAUGUGUUUGCAUUAAGAUGGUGUGUGUGUGUGUAUGUUUAACAAGGUGGUGGGGGAGGGUUUGUAGUUUCAGAGGGCCAGGUGUGACCUCAGCUAGCUGCCGGGACCCCAGACAACGGCCUGGAGAUGGAGUACGGUCCAGCUCAGCUGGGCAGUCAGCCGGUUCUGGCCAGUGCGAGGACAAUGAGCUGUGGAGAGAGGACCCCGGUGCCCUGACCAGCUGUUCUGGCCAGUGGGAACAAAGCAAAGUGUCACCUGGUCACAUCCCACUCCUGGGGGCACCAGCCAUCGCCUAUGUGCAGGCCCCUCGAGCCGCCUCGCCUGCACCGAGGGUCUCAGCAAAAGUCACACCCUCAUUCCCACCACCUAGGCAUUGGUGCAGCACACAGGGAAACUGAGGUACACACAGCAUUCAUGCAAAACAGUAACACAUACAACCUCAUGGGAAAAACCCACUUGGUUACAGCUAGAGAUCGGUGGCAUUGUUCUGUCUAGGAGUGGAGGCCCUGUGGGUCCAGAGCGAGGGGACUCCCUGAGGGGGCCUCCAGCGAGAGACAGGCAUGCUGGAGGCUGGACCCCGAGAAGGACGGUCACACUGAAGCCAGUUCCUCCCCAGGACCGUACGAAGCUGAGAGAACAUGGGGCCUGGGAGUCUGUGAGAGACGUAAUAUGCUGACUUCCGGAAGGUGACCUACAGUGCUACCAAAUUAACAUAGUGGUAUGCCACCACCAUGGUGGUGUCGCUGUGUGCAUUCCAGGAUACUGGACAGCAUGGGGGAGGUGACGUCUCGGAGUAGCUCACAAGCUUGUCACCAACAGAAGAUUUGUAUUUCCCCUGACUUGUCUCUGUGACGUUAACAUCGUACACACUGUAAUGGAUUCAAAAUGGGCUGACUGCCAACUCUCCGAAUGGGGGUGGGGAUCGGCAAGCUGGGCUGUAUCCAGCGGGGUCCUGCAGGGAGUGGUUCUUAGCCCUGCACUAUUUACUAUUUCAUCAGUUACCUGAAAAAAAAUAAAGCAUCACCAUGGUGACCUGGA